This 238-nucleotide ribosomal RNA is filed under the name uncultured bacterium. RNAcentral's name for it is "partial 16S ribosomal RNA". It matches the Rfam family "Bacterial small subunit ribosomal RNA", at positions 28 to 244 of the family's 1533-position model. The record is from RNAcentral.
GACGAACGCUGGCGGCGUGCCUAAUACAUGCAAGUCGAACGAAGUUGUUUUAACUGGUGCUUGCACCGACUUAAACAACUGAGUGGCGAACGGGUGAGUAACACGUGGGUAACCUGCCCCAAAGCGGGGGAUAACAUUUGGAAACAGAUGCUAAUACCAAAUAAGAACUGAGACCGCAUGGUUAAAGUUUAAAAGACGGCGCAAGCUGUCGCUAAAGGAUGGACCUGCGAUGCAUUAG